AACGCACGAGACCUGCGGACCUGCGGAGGGAUCAUUAGUGAACGCCCUCACGGGCUUAUAACUAUUCCAAACCUCUGUGAGCCGUGCCCUUCGGGGCUAUUUUACAAACAUGGUGUAAUGAACGUCAUAUAUCAUAACAAAACAAAACUUUUAACAACGGAUCUCU
Molecule: unclassified non-coding RNA, 166 nt
Filed under: soil metagenome
Description: partial contains 5.8S ribosomal RNA, internal transcribed spacer 2, and large subunit ribosomal RNA
Source: RNAcentral